Molecule: ribosomal RNA, 253 nt
Filed under: uncultured bacterium
Lineage: Bacteria
Description: partial 16S ribosomal RNA
Rfam family: Bacterial small subunit ribosomal RNA
Source: RNAcentral
UACGUAGGGGGCAAGCGUUGUCCGGAAUCAUUGGGCGUAAAGCGUGCGCAGGCGGUUUUGUAAGCCAGAUGUGAAAUCCCCGGGCUUAACCUGGGAAUGGCAUUUGGGACUGCAAGGCUUGAGUGCGGCAGAGGGGGGUGGAAUUCCACGUGUAGCAGUGAAAUGCGUAGAGAUGUGGAGGAACACCGAUGGCGAAGGCAGCCCCCUGGGUCGACACUGACGCUCAUGCACGAAAGCGUGGGGAGCAAACAGG